Molecule: ribosomal RNA, 480 nt
Filed under: uncultured bacterium
Lineage: Bacteria
Description: partial 16S ribosomal RNA
Rfam family: Bacterial small subunit ribosomal RNA
Source: RNAcentral
GACGAACGCUGGCGGCGUGCUUAACACAUGCAAGUCGAGCGAGAGAAAUUCCUUCGGGAAGGACUCUAGCGGCGGACGGGUGAGCAACACGUGGGUAACCUGCCUCAUAGAGGGGAAUAGCCUUUCGAAAGGAAGAUUAAUACCGCAUAAGAUUGUAGUAUCGCAUGAUACAGCAAUUAAAGGAGUAAUCCGCUAUGAGAUGGACCCGCGUCGCAUUAGCUAGUUGGUGAGGUAACGGCUCACCAAGGCGACGAUGCGUAGCCGACCUGAGGGGGUGAUCGGCCACAUUGGGACUGAGACACGGCCCAGACUCCUACGGGAGGCAGCAGUGGGGAAUAUUGCACAAUGGGGGAAACCCUAAUGCAGCAACGCCGCGUGAGUGAUGACGGUCUUCGGAUUGUAAAACUCUGUCUUCAGGGACGAUAAUGACGGUACCUGAGGAGGAAGCCACGGCUAACUACGUGCCAGCCGCCGCCGUAA